This 435-nucleotide ribosomal RNA is filed under the name uncultured bacterium. RNAcentral's name for it is "partial 16S ribosomal RNA". It matches the Rfam family "Bacterial small subunit ribosomal RNA", at positions 29 to 507 of the family's 1533-position model. The record is from RNAcentral.
AGCGAACGCUGGCGGCAGGCUUAACACAUGCAAGUCGAACGGGCUUCUUCGGAAGUCAGUGGCAGACGGGUGAGUAACACGUGGGAACGUGCCCUUCGGUUCGGAAUAACUCAGGGAAACUUGAGCUAAUACCGGAUACGCCCUUUUGGGGAAAGGUUGACUGCCGAAGGAUCGGCCCGCGUCUGAUUAGCUUGUUGGUGGGGUAACGGCCUACCAAGCCGACGAUCAGUAGCUGGUCUGAGAGGAUGAUCAGCCACACUGGGACUGAGACACGGCCCAGACUCCUACGGGAGGCAGCAGUGGGGAAUAUUGGACAAUGGGCGCAAGCCUGAUCCAGCCAUGCCGCGUGAGUGAUGAAGGCCUUAGGGUUGUAAAGCUCUUUUGUCCGGGACGAUAAUGACGGUACCGGAAGAAUAAGCCCCGGCUAACUUCGUG